Molecule: ribosomal RNA, 572 nt
Filed under: Sphingopyxis sp. E105
Lineage: Bacteria; Pseudomonadati; Pseudomonadota; Alphaproteobacteria; Sphingomonadales; Sphingopyxidaceae
Description: bacterial SSU rRNA
Rfam family: Bacterial small subunit ribosomal RNA
Source: RNAcentral
AACGAACUCUUCGGAGUUAGUGGCGCACGGGUGCGUAACGCGUGGGAAUCUGCCCUUGGGUACGGAAUAACUCAGAGAAAUUUGUGCUAAUACCGUAUAAUGACUUCGGUCCAAAGAUUUAUCGCCCAAGGAUGAGCCCGCGUAAGAUUAGCUAGUUGGUGGGGUAAAAGCCUACCAAGGCGACGAUCUUUAGCUGGUCUGAGAGGAUGAUCAGCCACACUGGGACUGAGACACGGCCCAGACUCCUACGGGAGGCAGCAGUGGGGAAUAUUGGACAAUGGGCGAAAGCCUGAUCCAGCAAUGCCGCGUGAGUGAUGAAGGCCCUAGGGUUGUAAAGCUCUUUUACCCGGGAUGAUAAUGACAGUACCGGGAGAAUAAGCUCCGGCUAACUUCGUGCCAGCAGCCGCGGUAAUACGAGGGGAGCUAGCGUUGUUCGGAAUUACUGGGCGUAAAGCGCGCGUAGGCGGCUUUUUAAGUCAGAGGUGAAAGCCCGGGCUCAACCCCGGAAUUGCCUUUGAAACUGGAAGCUAGAAUCUUGGAGAGGUCAGUGGAAUUCCGAGUGUAGAGGUGAA